UAGCGUAAUCACUUGUUCUUUAAUUGAGGACUAGUAUGAACGGCCCCACGAGGACUACACUGUCUCCUUUUUCUAAUCAAUGAAACUGAUCUCCUCGUGAAGAAGCGAGGAUAAUUAUAUAAGACGAGAAGACCCUAUGGAGCUUUAAACAACCGGGGUACUUGCUAAUUCAAUUUUAUAUCUUCUGAAAACUAAACAAAUUAAAGCAUCUUACCACCAAGUUUUAGGUUGGGGUGACCACGGAGAAAAAACUAACCUCCACGCUGUAAGAAAUCCACCAUCUUCUAAGCUUAGAGCCACAUUUCCAAGCAUCAACAUAUUGACUUCCAUUGACCCAAUAAUUUGAUCAACGAACCAAGUUACCCUAGGGAUAACAGCGCAAUCUACUUUAAGAGCUCAUAUCGACAAGUAGGUUUACGACCUCGAUGUU
Molecule: ribosomal RNA, 430 nt
Filed under: Ranitomeya variabilis (Zimmermann's poison frog)
Lineage: Eukaryota; Metazoa; Chordata; Amphibia; Anura; Dendrobatidae
Description: partial 16S ribosomal RNA
Rfam family: Bacterial large subunit ribosomal RNA
Source: RNAcentral